CCACUGACAUCCUGAAGUAAUCUUUGAAACGCUCGGAUAAUCCCGCAGCUCCUUGAUGAGUGUUGUCUGUACACAUGUCUGUGCUCGUCUUUUGAUGGAGUUCAGACUGGAGCAGAUGUCAUAAAUCCAUCUUGCUUUUCAACUUCUUCCCUCUAAACAACAGACUCCGUUCUGUUACGUAUCACCCACUUUUCACCAUCACUUGUCUAGUUGAAGUUCACUUGGAAAUCUGUCAGAUUAGAGCAGUCAAAAACUUUCAUGUCUUUCUUUGAACAUUGUUACUACUGCAGUAGUAUCUUAAUAAUCUCAUAAUAGUAGUCUGUAACUACUUGUCCAUCAAGCAGUGUAAGUAAGAGAUCGUUUGGUAUACAGUCUUUGUUUUUAUACCUUUAAGUCUGAUUUGAUUCUACUUCAAAUCAGUUUAUUUGUAUAGCACUUUUUACAUUACACACUGUUCCAAAAGCAGCUUUACAGAAAAUAGAAAAAUAAAGCAGAUGAAAAGAAGAGGAAAGGACAGUAUAAAGUCAUUCAUAAAACUUACAAGGCAUUUCAAAAGCAUUGCACCCAAAACUGGCUAGGUUUUAAAAGCAGUCUUGCUCUGUGAAACACACAUUAUUCACUCCAGCCUUGAUGUCUGUGAUACAUAAUACACAUUUCAUAUGACCAGAGUUCUGCCCUCUGGUGAAUGCCUAGCUCAACAAUAAGCUGUAAAUUUUAGUCCAUUAAAGUCACUGGGAAUGUGCCAAGUCAUCAUGUGCAUUCCUGCCACCAGCUGCUUAAUCAGGCCCAACGAGAUGCCAGAGAGGGGGUGUGUGUGUGUGUGUGUGUGUGUGUGUGUGUGUGUGUGUGUGUGUGUGUGGACAAGAAAUUGGCAUCAACCAGAUGGGAAAACAGAAGUCAUGUUGGUGUCUUGACGUUCAAAUCCCAUGGAACGCCAAUGAAAAUAAUAUUUCCAUCCAGUACAGAUGCAAGAGGCAAUGUAAUCUGGUUAGAAAUCAGAUCUAAUGAGACAUGUGACUCAUGUUGAGCUGAGAAGUACCUGUUUUUUGUUUCUAUUGGACUUUUUCAAGUCUGUCUCUGUUCCCAAGGUGGCUUUCUGUUCGUGCUCUCCAAAACGGGGUGAAACGCGUAUAAACAAAGUAUAUUGUGGGCUUCGCCUAAAUGGUAAAAUUGCCUACACACAAAAAUGUCAAAAUGCCAUUUUGGUAAGUAUCCUUGAAAACACACAGCUGAGAAAGAAAACACAUGCAUCAGUAUAUUGGAUCCAUGAAGCUCUUAAAGUGACAGCAGCCUAAUAAACCUGCUGCAGUCAUUAAUGUUAAUCAAACAACAAAAGACAGAUAAAAUCACUCACUGCUCUUAAAUGAAUAUUUUUUGUAGUUUUAAUAAGUUUUAGUCUAUAUUUAACAUAUUCAGCAGUGUUAUUUUACUUUGAUUUAUGUUGUCUAUUACUUAUCUGAAUACCACUGUUAGUACUGUUAGUACUCCGAGUGUGUCGGAUUUAUUAAUAUAACUCCAUCAGAAAGAAGAAAGUCAAAUACACCUAGGAUGGCUUAAAGGUGAGUAAUUAUUUGGGGUAAUUUUCAUUUCAGAAUGAACUAAUCCUUUAAAUGAUUGCAUAAUAAUUUCAUGUUUAAUGGGUCAUUUCAGUUUUUUCUAGUGAUAAAGUAAAGUUUCUAUGAAGGGCCUGGCAUCUAUAUAGAAGAGUGUAACCCUUUUAGAUCAGCUAAACCAUCCUUAACCAGCUCAGACCACUUUUUUUCAGUAGUAUUGUACCAGUCGCUCUGUGAGCAUUGUAAGUUAUUCGUCUCUGGCCAAAAGUCGCUGCGGUGUAAAUGAAUAUGCGAGCGCAGAGACCCGUCGGAAGCUCAGCUAUGCAGCCACCUGCCCUCUUAAUCAUGUCAGGGCAUGUUGCACGUCGACUCACUCUGAGCGCUGCUGAUCUUGGAUCAGUUUCCCAUUCUUCAGAUUGUGCUGUUUAUUAAUACUUGACUAUUUAUGGAAUUGGAAAAUACCAAUUGAGCUUUAGAGCGGUAUGACUAAACUCCUCUACAGGAUAACAAAACAUGCCAUUUCUCACUUAUUCUCAAUUUUUGUUCUCAUCCGAUAGUGUCAGUGCAGUUAAAUUUGUCUUUUAUUGUAUUACCAUAUGACUUUUUAAUCAAAUCAGAAGUUAUUGUUUUGUUGCAUAACACAUGAUUAGUAAGGCAGCCAAUAGAUUUAAUAAUGGAUCUGUUCAUUAUGAAAGACUUCUGUAUCCCCAUGACGAUUCUGUCAUCAAAAAAGCUCUUUUGCUCAUACUGUAGGUGGUCUAGAAAUGGCAAAUGGGUCUGUGUGAAAGAGAGAGCCAAUGCUAGGUGGUGGGAAAAAAAACUAAUGUUUGUUCUUUGUUCCAGUGGCACCUGUGUGCACUACUGUGAAGUCCAGCUGCAAUUUUCUAAAACCCAGCUGAGAGCGGACAGACGAGAGAGCUAGAAACAUGAGUGGGUGGACUUCAUAUUUCCAUAUUCACUGCACUCACAUAAUGGGAGGUCAAAGAGAGACAUUAAGAGAGAGACAGAGAGAGGAAAAAAGGACAACUCUGAAUUCACAGGAGGAAUAAAAUAUACAGUCUGAAGCAGACAAUUAAAAAUAAAUGGUUUAAAAUGUAAAAAUACUGUGCAAAACGUUCAGUUUUGUUUCCAACUGUGUAAUAGGAGAAUAUUAUACAGUAUAUAUAGAAUAUUAUAUAUAAAUGUAGGCUACAUAUAACAGUGCUUUCUGGAUCUCGAAUCUGAUUCACUGAUAGCCAUGCGAUUUUCUAGCAAUAACAGCACUCCUACCUUUUCACCGUUUGUAUCACUCCACUUGAAGCGACUGUCAUGGCGGCUGAUCAAAUCCACCUUAUUUUUUUUCAAAUACUACAUUUAUUGUACCACGAACAAGAGAUUUGGAGGUUUUUUUAGGUGAGAAUGUAGUUGGGACUCAUAUUUAAUCAUAGCACCUUUUUUACUAUUUGUUUAGACGUUUUCAGAGAUGUGAGCUCCAGGCCGUCAGCAUCCGUUCAGUGCUCGAGUAACCGCCGAGAACAGCUUCAUCUUGGCCAGUGCUUCGGGGAUUCACGGCUGUCUCUUAUAGUGGUUAAACAUGAGAUGUAAUUCAUUUUGGGUAUAAAACGGGCAAUCUUUGGUCUUAUUAAUCUAAUACUUGUUCCUGAGCAAAUCGAAUUGGGCUAUGUAUAAUAAUUUAAUUUUAAGCAUUAUUUAA
This is a long non-coding RNA of Megalobrama amblycephala (Wuchang bream), 3246 nucleotides long. RefSeq lists it as uncharacterized. The record is from RefSeq and is a predicted model, not a curated record. The transcript is spliced from 3 exons. NCBI's taxonomy places the organism in Eukaryota, Metazoa, Chordata, Actinopteri, Cypriniformes, Xenocyprididae.